This 254-nucleotide ribosomal RNA is filed under the name uncultured bacterium. Its description in RNAcentral is "partial 16S ribosomal RNA". It matches the Rfam family "Bacterial small subunit ribosomal RNA", at positions 524 to 776 of the family's 1533-position model. The record is from RNAcentral.
UACGAAGGGGGGCUAGCGUUGCUCGGAAUUACUGGGCGUAAAGGGAGCGUAGGCGGACAUUUAAGUCAGGGGUGAAAUCCCGGGGCUCAACCUCGGAAUUGCCUUUGAUACUGGGUGUCUUGAGUAUGAGAGAGGUAUGUGGAACUCCGAGUGUAGAGGUGAAAUUCGUAGAUAUUCGGAAGAACACCAGUGGCGAAGGCGACAUACUGGCUCAUUACUGACGCUGAGGCUCGAAAGCGUGGGGAGCAAACAGG